GGGGUUGUGGCUCAGUGGUUGAGUGCUCGCCUAGCACACGUGAGGCACUGGGUUCAAACCUCAACACCA
RNAcentral lists this transfer RNA (69 nucleotides) under Marmota monax (woodchuck). RNAcentral's name for it is "tRNA.Ala". The record is from RNAcentral. Lineage: Eukaryota; Metazoa; Chordata; Mammalia; Rodentia; Sciuridae.